Molecule: ribosomal RNA, 405 nt
Filed under: uncultured bacterium
Lineage: Bacteria
Description: bacterial SSU rRNA
Rfam family: Bacterial small subunit ribosomal RNA
Source: RNAcentral
UGGGGGAUAUUGCACAAUGGGCGAAAGCCUGAUGCAGCAACGCCGCGUGAGGGAAGACGGUUUUCGGAUUGUAAACCUCUGUUUUUGGUGACGAACAAAAUGACGGUAGCCGAAGAGGAAGCCCCGGCUAACUACGUGCCAGCAGCCGCGGUAAUACGUAGGGGGCAAGCGUUGUCCGGAAUUACUGGGUGUAAAGGGAGCGCAGGCGGGAAGGCAAGUCAGCUGUGAAAUGUACGGGCUUAACCCGUGAACUGCAGUUGAAACUGUUUUUCCUGAGUGGAGUAGAGGUAGGCGGAAUUCCGCGUGUAGCAGUGAAAUGCGUAGAUAUGCGGAGGAACACCGAUGGCGAAGGCAAUCCCCUGGACCUGUACUGACGCUCAUGCACGAAAGCGUGGGGAGCAAACA